This is a long non-coding RNA of Gossypium raimondii (Peruvian cotton), 1419 nucleotides long. RefSeq lists it as uncharacterized. The record is from RefSeq and is a predicted model, not a curated record. The transcript is spliced from 2 exons. NCBI's taxonomy places the organism in Eukaryota, Viridiplantae, Streptophyta, Magnoliopsida, Malvales, Malvaceae.
AGUCCUUGUUGAGAAAAUUGGAAGAAAAUUCCACAGCUCUGCAAUCCUGCCUUGUGGUCCACCAAUCCUACGACCCUUCUACUACUUACAUUAACGGUCCUUCUCUAUCCAACAACUCUGUUUUAGGCAAUGGUGAUUCGACACCCGAUGGUAGCCAUCACCUGGAAAUGAGUGGAACUGGAAGUAGCGGCAAUUGUGCUCUCGAUGAGGCUCGCUUGAGGUUAUAAGAACUCCGUCGCUUCUCUUCGCGCUGUGCUCGCCGCCGUUCCCAAUUCUCAAAAGGCAUUUCAAUUAGCUCAAAGAAUAAGGAAUCUUUUCUGCUCUUUUCUUUUUAAUCUCUGCUUCAUCUGCUGGAGAUUGAGAAAUUGGAACAGCUAGCCUCGAAUCUCAGAAAGGUAUUUUGCAGUGUAGUAAUGUUCAUAAUUUAAUAGUCUUCAGGUUUAUCCAUUUCACACUCCUUCAACAGUAGUGGCAAUGCCAUCCACUUUUAGAUGGGUACUGGAUUUGGCUAAGUGCUGGGGGUCAAAUUCAGAACCCGGCCUUACAUGAAUUCACCCCCAGGUUGACCUUGAUGAACUAUUUGAGCUAAACUUCGGGUUUGGCUGUUUUUACCUGUAAAUUUACCUCGUUCAGAAGGCAUAGAAAUAUGGAAUGGUAUCUUAUUUCAUGGUAGUGUUAACAAUGAGGCUUUUAGCCGAUCGUUUUCUUUCCUAUGCUGUGUAAUUUCGAAUCUUAAUCCAUGAAGGAAACACCUUUUAAUGUUCAUAGUUUUAUAGUCUUCUAGGUUAUGCAUUUCAUAUUACUUUGAACAGUAGUGUUAAUGUCCAUUCCUUAAGUAAGCCAAAGCCUAGGGAGGAAAAAGGGUUUUUGCAAGUACAGAGGAUCGAGAUUUAGACCAGUUGAGCUGGAUGAACUAGUUGGACUAAUUAUGAAGCCUUUAGCCGAUUAUUUUCUUUCCCGUUGUGGUUUAAUUUUGAACCUUAAUCCAUGAAGAAAACACCAACUAACAUCUGGAAAAAAGGAAGCUAAUCUCGUGGUUACGUUUAUAGGAGCUUGAAAUCGAGAACCAAUGUAUAAGGUUAAUUCGAUUCUUUUGGUUGCUGAAAAUGGUGCCUUGAGCUAGGAAUAUAAACCAAGAUGCCUGCAUACUGUCUUCAAAUCAUGAAUUUUAUCGAAUUUCAUUCAUUGACAUUGAUCUGCACUUUGUAACUUUGGAGGGCUCAAAAAUGGUGUUAUCAAAUGCCAAAUAUAUAUAUAUAUAUAUAAUACUCGAAUCCUUUUGUAACUUUCUCUUAUAACUUGUUGAGUAUCAAAAGACUAGUUUGAAGCAAACAUUAUGUACAAAGAAGUUUGAUUCAUUGUAAUGAUUACUUGUUUCAAGCAUAGAUAUGGGAAAAUUUUUUAUUUGCAUUUUUAGCA